RNAcentral lists this ribosomal RNA (253 nucleotides) under uncultured bacterium. Its description in RNAcentral is "partial 16S ribosomal RNA". It matches the Rfam family "Bacterial small subunit ribosomal RNA", at positions 524 to 776 of the family's 1533-position model. The record is from RNAcentral.
UACGUAGGGUGCAAGCGUUGUCCGGAAUUAUUGGGCGUAAAGAGCUCGUAGGCGGUUUGUCGCGUCUGCUGUGAAAACUCGGGGCUUAACCCCGGGCCUGCAGUGGGUACGGGCAGACUAGAGUGCGGUAGGGGAGACUGGAAUUUACGGUGUAGCGGUGAAAUGCGUAGAUAUCGUAAGGAAGACCAGUGGCGAAGGCGGGUCUCUGGACAGUUCCUGACGCUGAGGCACGAAGGCCAGGGGAGCAAACGGG